GACGAACGCUGGCGGCGUGCUUAACACAUGCAAGUCGAACGGAAAGGCCCUGCCUUUGUGGGGUGCUCGAGUGGCGAACGGGUGAGUAACACGUGAGUAACCUGCCCUUGACUCUGGGAUAACUUCAGGAAACUGGGGCUAAUACCGGAUAGGAGCUCCUGCUGCAUGGUGGGGGUUGGAAAGUUUCGGCGGUUUGGGAUGGACUCGCGGCUUAUCAGCUUGUUGGUGGGGUAGUGGCUUACCAAGGCUUUGACGGGUAGCCGGCCUGAGAGGGUGACCGGCCACAUUGGGACUGAGACACGGCCCAGACUCCUACGGGAGGCAGCAGUGGGGAAUAUUGCACAAUGGGCGGAAGCCUGAUGCAGCAACGCCGCGUGCGGGAUGACGGCCUUCGGGUUGUAAACCGCUUUCGCCUGUGACGAAGCGUGAGUGACGGUACUGGGUAAAGAAGCACCGGCUAACUACGUG
This 468-nucleotide ribosomal RNA is filed under the name uncultured bacterium. RNAcentral's name for it is "partial 16S ribosomal RNA". It matches the Rfam family "Bacterial small subunit ribosomal RNA", at positions 28 to 507 of the family's 1533-position model. The record is from RNAcentral.